This 500-nucleotide ribosomal RNA is filed under the name uncultured Glomeromycotina. Its description in RNAcentral is "partial small subunit ribosomal RNA". It matches the Rfam family "Eukaryotic small subunit ribosomal RNA", at positions 591 to 1092 of the family's 1831-position model. The record is from RNAcentral. Lineage: Eukaryota; Fungi; Glomeromycota.
CCAAUAGCGUAUAUUAAAGUUGUUGCAGUUAAAAAGCUCGUAGUUGAAUUUCGGGGUCAGUAGGCUGGUCGUGCCACGGGUAUGUACUGGUCUUACUGAUUCCUCCUUCCUGAUGAACCGUAAUGCCAUUAAUUUGGUGUUGCGGGGAAUCUGGACUGUUACUUUGAAAAAAUUAGAGUGUUUAAAGCAGGCUAACGCUUGAAUACAUUAGCAUGGAAUAAUGAAAUAGGACGAUCGAUCCUAUUUUGUUGGUUUCUAGGAUUGACGUAAUGAUUAAUAGGGUUAGUUGGGGGCAUUAGUAUUCAAUUGUCAGAGGUGAAAUUCUUGGAUUUAUUGAAGACUAACUACUGCGAAAGCAUUUGCCAAGGAUGUUUUCAUUAAUCAAGAACGAAAGUUAGGGGAUCGAAGACGAUCAGAUACCGUCGUAGUCUUAACCAUAAACUAUGCCGACUAGGGAUCGGAUGAUGUUAAUUUUUUAAUGACUCAUUCGGCGCCUUACG